GGAAGAUGAAGGUGAGGCCUUGAAGGAUGCUAAAAAGCCUUCUACCAAAGCUGUGAAAGCCUGAAAACAUGAGUAGAAUGUAAUCACAGGAAAUGUAGCCUACACUGUCCGUCUCAAUAACCGAUCUCUUCCUCAUGAAUUUGUGCCUCCAGGUGCUCGUUACGAGUUCAACCAGCUGUAAUCUAUUGUCAAUGUAUCGUUUUAUGAUUAAUACUUUGACUAGGAUAUCGUAGAAUUAUAAAUGCAAGAUUACUGCUUGUAUAAACACAUUUGUAGUUUUUGUUUCUGUCAACUUAUUUAGCUGCCCUGGAUCAUGGAUUACAAGUACAAAUACUGUAGUCAAAAUCAACAUCCAUUUGUGACCAUGUAAGGCUGUUUUCUUAUUUAUUUUUGUGGGCUGGGAUUUUCCAAGUCUAACUAGUGUUGGAACUUGAAACUGUCUUUGUUAGUGAAUC
This 455-nucleotide unclassified non-coding RNA is filed under the name Hevea brasiliensis (rubber tree). Lineage: Eukaryota; Viridiplantae; Streptophyta; Magnoliopsida; Malpighiales; Euphorbiaceae. The record is from RNAcentral.